UGGUUCUGGCAUCGAUGAAGAACGCAGCGAAAUGCGAUAAGUAAUGUGAAUUGCAGAAUUCAGUGAAUCAUCGAAUCUUUGAACGCGCAUUGCGCCCGCCAGUAUUCUGGCGGGCAUGCCUGUUCGAGCGUCAUUUCAACCCUCAAGCUCUGCUUGGUGUUGGGGACCGGCCGCAGCCUUCAGUGCUCUGCCGCCCCCUAAAUACAGUGGCGGUCCCGCCGCAGCCUCCUUUGCGUAGUAGUAAACCACCUCGCACACGGAACGCAGCGUGACCACGCCGUUAAACCCCCAACUUUCUGAAGUUUGACCUCGGAUCAGGUAGGAAUACCCGCUGA
This 335-nucleotide unclassified non-coding RNA is filed under the name uncultured fungus. Its description in RNAcentral is "partial contains 5.8S ribosomal RNA and internal transcribed spacer 2". The stretch from base 1 to 133 matches the Rfam family "5.8S ribosomal RNA", at positions 22 to 154 of the family's 154-position model. The record is from RNAcentral. Lineage: Eukaryota; Fungi.